AGAGCGCAUCAUUAGUGAGGUCUGGAGAGUCCACGACAGCCACAGGGCCAGCCACCCCCAGGGGCCACCAGGAGGCUGGCCCCGCCCGGCACUGCCUGCUCACAAAACGGGCACUUAAUUUUAGGUAUUGCACUUAUACUAGGAGUUUGGCUAGUCAGAAAGGUUUUAUUGACCACUUUCUGGUUGGAGAGAAAAAAAAAGGAAUAUAUAAUGUCAUAAUUUCCUCUACGUAAUUCCAAAAAAAACCCCAAAACAUGCAAAAAUGGGCAAGCCAGAGCCAUCUACUCUCCGUCAUUACCAGGAAGUUGAGCACAGGGGGAAAAGAAAACAAGUCAAAAUUACAUUCAAGAGGAAAUCAGUAAUUAAUAUUUUGAAAGCAAUGUAACACCUGAAAAUAGGGACUGUGAUGGAUAUUCAACCCCAAGGGCCGGUGGCUGUGCUUUUGGGGAUGAGCAAAACCCCCGAGAGACGGACACUGAAUUCUGAGUGCAGGGCAUUUGGCGGCAUGUACCCCGAGCUCCAGAUUCUCAGAGCGGCCGGCACACUAACAGGCUGCCGACUCCCCGGCUCCUCCCCACACUGUUAGGACUCCAGUUUGUAGAAAAGAAAUUUCAGCUCUAGAAUACCGAGAAACAUCCUCAAGCAAAAUGCUGUCUGGAACCUGCUCACUCCGAAUUCCACAUUCUUGCCAGCGCAGGGUCUGAGCAUGGCAGUCAUCCUAAAAACCCUGCCCAGUGAGCAUGUACUAAAGAAGUGACCUGGAAAAUCUGGCGAACACUGUCCUUUUAGCUGCGUGCUCUUGGGCAAGACGAUGAACCUCCAUGCCUCAGGCUUUCUCUGCAGCACAGAGAUAAUCCCCCUAAUAAUCCCUUAGACCGCGCUGAGGACUCAGUGUGCACGCUGGGCGGUCACCUGUGGGAACGGAGAACGCUGUGCUGCUUAUCACUACUACAGAGGCAGAAGGCCUGGCACAGGACGCGGCUGGUGCGCAGCACUGGUCAGCCCUCCUCCUACAGCUCUGUGGUAGAACAGACCUCUCAGAAAAGAAACGGGGGGCAAAAGACCAAACAAACAGAAGACCUACAAAUUCAAGAGGUAACUCAGUCCCUCUGCAGAGAGUGUGAAUGACACAAGGAGGGUCCAGGCCUGGCUCCCUUCCAGACGCAAGCGCUGCCACCAAUCGUCUUGGGAGCGUGACCGGGUUGGACCGUGUCUGCAUCCUCCUCCUACAAGGUGCCCUCCAUACACGACUGCACCUUCGCAGACAUGCGCUUCUGGCCUCACGGGCGAUGGCCUGCCCUCUCACCCAUCAGGAACGCUCGCCCUAGCGCUCUCCGACUACUCACUCCGCCUCUGCUGGGCCACACACAGCUGCCUACCCAGCCCUUCACAUGGUGCAGAGUGUUCCACUGCUUAUUCAUGGAUCCAUACAGUAAUGUUCCGUUUCUACGGCCGUCACAGACAUGGACAGCAUAUGGCAGAUGAGUGGACUGGGUGGCAGGGAGGGUGACGGGGCGCCGGGUGCAUGGGGGUGUCCUGGCCCUGGUGCUGGGUAUACAGGUGUGCAGUCCUUUCAUGCUGGACGCCUAGUGUGCACUGUGCCACUUGUCAUAGGCCUGUUCCCACCUCAAUAAAACUGAGCAAAAAUAAAAGAAUAUAUGAGAAAGUUUCCAUAGCUUUGAAGAUACGCUUUAACAUGUGGUGGUGCCACCCCCUCCUCUCCCCUUUUCUGCUCCGGACUCUCCCUGGCUAUUCUUGUUUUUUGCUCUCCCGUAUGAGCUUUAGAACCAAUCUGUCCAGUUCUGUGAGGGGCGUGACAUGGACAUAUCCACACGCACGCAGGCACACACGCUGCCUUUCAAACAGCUUUUCAAGGAUGACAUCGCCCAAACCUGCAGUCCCUGUGCCCAGGGGGCUUCUCCAGCUCUCACACACAACCCGGAGGACACGCUUCCGCAUGCGGGUGGAAUGCCACUCUACUGCUGGCCCUGGGGGAUCAUAUUCUGAAAGUAGAGUUUAAAUUUAAUUUAUUCAUGUCCGGCUGCCUCUCAUCAUCCUAAGUCAUUUCAGGUUGCCCUCUCCUUGGCAGGCGACUGCUGGCCGGGCCCCUCGGCACUCAGACUGAAUGUCCAGCCUUCUUCCCAGAGAGAAGGGCCCCAGGGCCCAGGUUCUGAAGCACAAAACCAAUAGCUUUGGCUUGAAUCACUCUGAAACAUUCACUGUGAUUUUUCUGAAUACGAAAUGUGACUUCGUGAAUAUUCCAUGCUUAGUUCUAAAUCUUACUCCAGAAAUCCUCCUGUGGAUUUAGCCCUAACAAACUAUAAAACUAUGACAAAAAUUAAAGUCAAGGGGAUGAUUCAGAAAAGUGUAAUAUUACAAUUUAAAAUAUUUUAAAAGCAAGUGUUGGAGCAGAUGGUCUGAAGGAUAUCUCCAUCGUUAAAAAAGCCUGCAUCAGAUACAAAGAAUAGCCUUUCUGCUAGAUACUAAAAAACAAACGUGUUUUCAUAACUGGGUUUCAAAUACGUGGUUUAUAAUCUUAAAGUUAAGACACUAUGAAAAUAAAAAACUAUUCAAUGCUGUAACAGCAUCUUGCCACAUAAUAUGCCAAAAAUUAAACAUUCUGUAUUUAAGCUCAUUAAAUCAAUUCUGCAACUUUUUCAUACUUAAGACCUUUUUGUUUUUUGCUGUUCUGCAACUCGCUACUUUUUUUUUUGGUAUCAUUAACGUACAGUUAUAUGAGCAACAUUAUGGUUACUAGACUCCCCCCA
Molecule: long non-coding RNA, 2768 nt
Organism: Manis pentadactyla (Chinese pangolin)
Lineage: Eukaryota; Metazoa; Chordata; Mammalia; Pholidota; Manidae
Exons: 4
Source: RefSeq, a predicted model, not a curated record